This 499-nucleotide ribosomal RNA is filed under the name uncultured bacterium. RNAcentral describes it as "bacterial SSU rRNA". It matches the Rfam family "Bacterial small subunit ribosomal RNA", at positions 30 to 524 of the family's 1533-position model. The record is from RNAcentral.
UGAACGCUGGCGGCAUGCCUUACACAUGCAAGUCGAACGGCAGCGCGGGAGCAAUCCUGGCGGCGAGUGGCGAACGGGUGAGUAAUACAUCGGAACGUGCCCAAUCGUGGGGGAUAACGCAGCGAAAGCUGUGCUAAUACCGCAUACGAUCUACGGAUGAAAGCAGGGGAUCGCAAGACCUUGCGCGAAUGGAGCGGCCGAUGGCAGAUUAGGUAGUUGGUGAGGUAAAGGCUCACCAAGCCUUCGAUCUGUAGCUGGUCUGAGAGGACGACCAGCCACACUGGGACUGAGACACGGCCCAGACUCCUACGGGAGGCAGCAGUGGGGAAUUUUGGACAAUGGGCGAAAGCCUGAUCCAGCCAUGCCGCGUGCAGGAUGAAGGCCUUCGGGUUGUAAACUGCUUUUGUACGGAACGAAACGGUCUUUUCUAAUAAAGAAGGCUAAUGACGGUACCGUAAGAAUAAGCACCGGCUAACUACGUGCCAGCAGCCGCGGUAAU